This 5372-nucleotide long non-coding RNA is filed under the name Sus scrofa (pig). RNAcentral's name for it is "lncRNA (ENSSSCG00045010505.1)". The record is from RNAcentral. Lineage: Eukaryota; Metazoa; Chordata; Mammalia; Artiodactyla; Suidae.
AUAGUACAGUUGCUUUUUGUUCUUUUGGCUGAAACUGAAGAGGACAUUGAAGAAAGAGAUAGAAAGGCCACAGAGUAGACCCCGAGAUGCUUGUGGGAGUCUGUGGUGGGUGGGCCUGUUGGAGCUGGUGAGGGGGCCUGUGGGCCACAGUGGGCUUUGAAAGACUUUUGCCGGAGUCAGGCCACUUUCCUGAGCGGCUGUUAUCAGGCUCUGCCACAGGAGCCCUUAGCGUGAAGGCUGCUUUGCCCAGGGCAGCCUGUCCCAGACCUGCCCUACUAAUGUUUGGCUUUGAGUGUCUCUGGUUCACGGCAAGUGAUUAGGUCGAAUAAACCUUAGGUCAAGGAGCUUAGUCACCUCUUUCCAGCCUAAAUGACAAGCACCCUGAAUUCCCAUGAGUUUUUGGUGCUUGACGGCAUCCUGGCAUAGACAUUGGUUUGCAAGCGUGUCUUAACAGCAAACUGACCUGCUGCGUCUGCCUCUUGGUGCAGCAUACAAGCAGCCAAUGGAAAAAUCGGCAACCUGCAUUCAAAGAUUUGGCCUUGGUCACAGUUAAAAAUUAACCGUGGUUUAAUUUUUGUACUGGGUUGUUCCCCCCCCAAUCCAAACUCAAUUUCCUGUUGCAGAAUAAAUUGAUUUCAUCGCGUCAUAUGGAAGACUUCUUUUCUUUAUCCCAAACCUGUGAUUUUAAUGUAGAACAUUGAAUGUAGGUCAGUAUUCACCUCUUUCUCAGAAAUCUGGGAAGACAAUUUUGGGUUUUUUUUUUUCACCCCCAGUUUCUCUGAAUAAUACUCCCCAGGUUGUUAAGAGCAUUGAUAAAGUUCCCCAGCCUCGGAUCUAGAACUGGAAUGUUAAAGCCCUUCGCGCCUACGAAAGGAAUGAGGGCGUUUCCCGAGUUGGGCCAGAGAGGAAACCUCACUCACGGGAAGCUUCUGAGCGGACAAGCUGCUCGACCUCCGACCUCCUCCGGGAGACUCAGCCCGAGGUCCAGCGUCACCUUUGUUCUAAAUUCUCUGCUCUUCAUGAAUGGCGGAUAGUAUUUUAGAAGUCUAGCCAACUAGUGCUUUGAAACGGAGGGAGAGCUACACUGAAAAGACUUAAGGUAAUCUAAAUGGAUGUUCUAGUGAUGUCAGUAUUCAGAAGAGAGAUCCUAUUAGAGUGACUUUUCAGGAAAAAAAAAAAAGUUCCGUAACCUGAGUCCCGCCCCCCCCCUCCCGCCACCAUCCCCUCUCGCUUUUGCACUCCAGCAAGACGCAGCCUGUUGCUUCCCAAACCCGCAGAGCUGUUUCCUGUUCCUGGCCUUUGGGGAAGCCCCCCACCCUCCCAACUCUGCUGUCCACCUCCCCAGACACACCCUGCCCACAGCCCAGGGCAGCCUUCCGCGCCACAGAUACACUGGUGGUAAAGGAUGGAGUGUGUUUGGCUUGCAUCAGUUUGCCAGGAGCAAGGGAGGGUAGCUACAAAGCACUGCUCUAACCUGUUAUUUUCUGCACUAUUAAAAUGUAAAGCAGGCUGACAUAAGAAUCCACUCUUCUCCACCGGUCACCACCAUAAGAUUUAUGAAUCAUUUGCUAAAUCCACCGCCAGUUUUAAAAUCCGGCUCCCAGGCUAGGUCUGCAGGAAAUAAGCUUGUGAGAUCAUAAGUGCUAUGGAGUAGGAAGUUAUUUACUGGAUCCUGCAGUGUUAGCACUGGGAAUCCCAAGAAAGCUGCCUAAUAAGCUGGGUUGUACCCAUUUGGAACCUAGUGUCUCCAAAGGUGGGGGGGGUGAACAUGUCAGAAACAUCGAAAAUGAGUUUAAAUUAAAGCCUGAAGUUUUUAAAUAUAAAGCAAAGUUUGAGUACAUUAGCUUUUAAGAUAGAGAUGCUGAAGAGAAACCCUAAUGAAAUACACUGUGGUGUUACUCUCAGGAAUUAAAAAUAACAACAGAGGACACAGCAUAUGGAAGUUCCCAGACUAGGGGUCAAAUCAGAGUUGUAGCUCACACCACACCGCAGCUCACAGCAACUCCGGAUCCUUAACCCACUGAGCGAGACCAGGGAUCACACCCACAUCCUCAUGGAUCCAGGUUGGGUUCAUUACCACUGAGCCACCAUGAGAACUCACUAAAUGGAAGUGGUUUUAAAACGAGUGAUCUGCCUGCCCUCCUGUGGGUACAGCAAGGCAGCAGCCAUAAAACGAAAACCCUGGUCAGUUCCCAGAGUGAAACCUGCAGUCUUAGCCACCUAAGUCCUGGGGCAGGUGGUCCCCUGAGCAAGAUGCUGUUUCCCUAGGGGUGGGGGUGGGGGGCUUUUUCUGACGUUAAAGCUCCUCUAGUCUGGGACUCCCAGGUGGGCAGCCUGGUGGCCUCCUGCUCGGCCAGCCCCUCUCCUGAGCCCUGUGGGGGGAAGCCCCCUCCUCCCCGCCGAGGGGCUGCCCCCACCAGGGUCACCUUCUCUGCCUGCUCUUUGAAUCACCUCUCCCCCAUUUUUGAAGUGAGCUUUGAACUUGGGGGCUUGGGGCAGGAGGAAGAGAGCACCAGAAGUGUUGUGUAAACACUGGUUCUGAUCCUUCUCAACUUUUACUACCUGUAAGGACAGGUGGACGUGGAGAAGCUGCUGGCAGGAAGGGCCAAUUGUUCUCAAGGUUAUGGGUUAUGCAAUCGAGCAGAAGAGCUUUGAAGCUGCAGGAGGAGGUCAGAGCAGCUUGUCCACAAAGCAUAUGACGCAGAAGUUUCCCUUUAGAAGAACUUACUUGCUUGACUCUCGUUAGGAAUUCCUGUGCCAGCAUUUAGCUGGAUCUCUGGGGUGAGUCGUUAUCUCCGGUCUGCAGUUAAAGUAAGGAAUUUCUUUUAAAGGACCCUACUUCCGGAGUUUUCCUGAGAUGCCAGGCUGAAGCGGGUACCUUCAGCACCUAUUUUUGUAUAGAAUGUCGUUUCAUCCGAGUCUGUAACCUUGUGCUCGUGUCCGUGGGAAAGAAAAAAAUAGUGAGACCCUUCUUUAUCCAGUUACGAGGCGGAGGUAGACGGUGAUGUCAUAGGUUGUGUGGACCCGGCUGUGCUGAGCUUGCGUCUGGGACAGUGACCAGACAGACCAGAGGAGAAGUGGAAGGUAUUUUUAGCCCCUGGGGGCUGCUCUGGACGCCGCUUCUCCGGGCGCCCCAGUACCUCCCGCGGGGAGAUGCGGCGCAGGCGCACUGGCUCUCAUGCCUUCCGCCUCUGAAUCAUACCGUAGAAUAUUCGGGAGCCCUGGUGGGCUGCCGACUUGAUGGCGCAGCUUUGAGAGCCACACACUUCAGCCCAAAUCUGAGACGUUGCUGGAGGGCCUCUCAGCGGGCCCUGGGUCCCUCGCAGGGACCGGACCAGUCCUCUUCUUCCGAAGUGUGGUUUUCUCUGGAAAUCCGGGCCUGGGUACGCAGUUCACUCCUUUUUUUUUUUUUUUUUCCUGCGUUGAGCUGCUCCAGGCAUGCGUGGAAGUUCUGCUGCUGAGAACAGCAUGACCUCUGCAAGUAGGUUCUUAAAAUCUUUGGAGAGCCGGUUUGAACCGCGAGCAGUAAGUCAGCUGAAAACUUCUGUCAGGUUAUGUACAUCAAGUGCAGCUUUAGAAAAGUGAUAAAAGGAAGGGAUCCUGUCUGGGGUACGCAGGCUGUCCCUAGAAUCACUUUUGCAGGCUGAAGGGCUUCUGGAUGUGAUGUGGAGGGUGUAGGUCAGUUUCCGAAUAAGUCGGCUUCUGCUUGGCUGGUCAGGGUUUUGACUGCGGGCCAGUCCGUCUCUCUGGCCGUGGGAGUGAGCGGUGCCAGUAGGAGUGUGGAAGACACCACGUGCUGUGUGGAAGAAGCUCUGGAUGAGAUUAGGAGGCCGGAUCCUUGUCUCUCUCCUCCAGCUGCCUCCCCCGACCCCAGUAUGUCCCAGCCUCGAGCUCGAGUGACCCUGGCGGGUUCCUGGGCCUCUCUCUACCCCCGUUGAUAAGUUGAGGCCGUGUAUGGCCUACAGGCCCCGAGUCAGGCUGCCUGGGUCUGCAUCCAGGCUCUGCCCCUUGCUGGCUCUGUGACUCAGGGCACAUGAGCAUUUCUCAGUGUCUUGGUGCCUGUUUCCCCAUCACUAAUGGGAAUAGUACCCACUUCACAGGCUGCUGUGAGGCCCAAUUGGGUUAAAGUGUGUGGCCUGCCUGCAAGGCGGUUGGCCUUUCUUGGGAUGGCUCACAAAUGCCUCUUCCAGUGAGGGAGUCUGUUACUUUCUUCUACCUCUUCAGGCAAAUGGACCACCCGAGAGGUCCCUAGAGGAGGCAAAGCAGGUGAUGACCAGGGAAGCCAGAGGGGCCCUGGGGUGGGUCUCGGUGCCCGCCCUGUGCUCUGCCUCCCUCCCUGGUCUCCCCAAGAAAAGCUCAGCCCGGCAGAGCACAGGCCCCAGCAGCUCCCGCUGUUAACUGUGCAGGGAAGACAGAUCCUCAGGUGAGCAGCGUCGCUGCCCUGGGGUGCUGCCCCCAGGCCCACGGAUGCCCAGGCAGCCUGUGCCAGUUUUCUCAGUUUUCAAGUGUCGUGGUCAGACUGGGUCAUGGGGGCCAAGCUCUUUACUAGCUGGUUCCCCUGAUGAAAACUCUUUCAUUGAAACGCUUCAUUCCCGAUCUACAUUGUUUCCAAUCCCCAUGCUCUUCUCUGAGGGCUCAGCUGGCUGCCCUUCAGAGAGCCCAGUGAGAGACAAGUGUAGUAGUUUCAUGCAGCUUCCCACCUCCCUCUCCAACCGCCUGGUACUCCGUGGUUUCUGCAGAGGUUCUCAGUAGGAGAAAAGUUAUGUUUAUGGGGCACAUUCAGAGAGCUUGUGCCUCCAUUCCAGAAUUUGUUUGGAGGCUCUGCCCCACGUGGUGGAGAAUCUUGUUAAGUUCGGGUGGUUCCCUACAGUUUCCACUAGAAAUUACGUCUUUAAAGACUGCUCUGGGCAGGAGAGUCUGGAACUCCCUGCUAGAGACCUUGGGGACUGGCAAGGGACAUCUACGAAUCCGAAGAGGGGCUAAGUUAGGUGAGCAAUCUGAGAACAGAGGCCAGGCUUUAUUGCCUUGUAAAUCACAAACCUGAAGUUUUGUCAGAUCUUUGGGUAAGGGGAGAGCCACCCUGAAUAGAUAACCCUGUCCUAAAUUGCCUUUGCAAGGACCUAAAAUAUGAGACUAUUGAAUGUUCUUCAUUAUACGUAAUUGUUAGUCCAGGAGUUCCCAUUGUGGCUCAGUGGUAAUGAAACCCACUAGUAUCCAUGAGGACGAGGGUUCCAUCUCAGGCCUCACUCAGUGGGUUAAGGGUCCAGUGUUGCUUUGAGCUGUGGUGUAGACCAGCAGCUGUGGCUCUGAUUCAAUCCCUAGGCUGAGAACUUCCUCAGAACUUGAGAACUGUGCCACAGGUGCAGCCCCUG